GCAGUCGUGGUUCAGUGGUAGAAUUUUCACCUUCCAUAUGGAAGACCUGGGUUUGAUUCCUGGCUAAUGUA
RNAcentral lists this transfer RNA (71 nucleotides) under Loxodonta africana (African savanna elephant). It matches the Rfam family "tRNA". Rfam says of the family: Transfer RNA (tRNA) molecules are approximately 80 nucleotides in length. Their secondary structure includes four short double-helical elements and three loops (D, anti-codon, and T loops). Further hydrogen bonds mediate the characteristic L-shaped molecular structure. tRNAs have two regions of fundamental functional importance: the anti-codon, which is responsible for specific mRNA codon recognition, and the 3' end, to which the tRNAs corresponding amino acid is attached (by aminoacyl-tRNA synthetases). tRNAs cope with the degeneracy of the genetic code in two manners: having more than one tRNA (with a specific anti-codon) for a particular amino acid; and 'wobble' base-pairing, i.e. permitting non-standard base-pairing at the 3rd anti-codon position. The record is from Rfam by way of RNAcentral. Lineage: Eukaryota; Metazoa; Chordata; Mammalia; Proboscidea; Elephantidae.